UCUCAGAUCCACGAGAUGAGAUUGGCCAAUUCAGGACAAGUACUCCGACGAGAUUGGACGACGCAAACGAGUUCUCCGGCGAGAUUUGACGACGUUGACGAGUUCUUUAGCUAGUUCUAAUGCGAGAUUUGACGAGGACUACAACCUCAAAUGGUUUUUCGAAUCUAUCACAGUCGUCGAUCAAUCCGUUGAUGAGCUAUGCCGUUUAGUAUCAGACUCCGUUCUGGACCUCUCCCUCGGUUUGCUCGAACUCCAAUCCACACUCGAUGGAUGCGACUCUAAAUUGGUUCCAGUCUUUGUGAAAGGCUUAGGGGUUUUGAUUCGUAUCGGUUACGAACAGAAACAUGGGGAUUGGAAUUUCAAUUCGAUCGAGAAUCAUCCGUUUGUGAGGAUUCUUUCGUGCAGAGUGGAGACGCAGACGGAGCUUCUUCACCAAGUAUCACUCUUUGUGAAUUUCUGGAGCCGUUCGUGAAUUUUGUAAUAUUAUGUAUCCCAUUUGCAGAUUCAUCCCUGUCUUUGUUUGUGAGGGAGCUAGUCUCAUCAAUGGCUUCCCUUUGUUGCUUCAUGCCGUCAUGAAGAACUGCCGGUAUUCAGAUUGCUUAUGCGGUGUCUUAAGUAUGUCCCAGGGAAGAACUCAGAAGACAAUAGAAAUUUCAGCUGCAUUGUCAAGACACUAGUGGACAUCUCUCAAUGCUCAAUUAUGCCUUUUUAAAAGGCCUUAUAAAAGAAACUGCAAAAGAAUGAUGUUCUUUAACAAGCAAAGAAAUGGUGGAAAGUUGGUUAAUUUGGUGAUUUAUAAUCACCAAAUUCGGAGGUAGUAAAUGAUACUGGUGCAAUCCGUAAAUCAGUUAAGAGAUGGAGACCGCCAGGUGUGGAUUGCUUGAAAUGCAAUGUAGGAGUAGCCUGGUCCAAGGACAAAAUGCGGGCGGGUACUUCUUGGGUAGUGAGGAACUGUCGGGGUGAGGUCUUGAUGCACAGUAAAAGGGCUUUUAGUAGGAUCACCUCCCUUUUGAAAGCUAAGCACCUUGGUUUGUUGUGGGCGAUGGAAAGCAUGGCAUCACAUAAACUGCAAAAUGUGGUUUUGGAAGGGGAGGCACCCGAACUGGUAGAAGCGGUGAUGUGUCCGUUGGUGUGACCUUCAUUUGAGCUAGCAGAGGCGUUGACAAAGUUUAAGGACUGGAAGUUGGAAGGAGUGGUGUGAGAGGCCAAUGUACCGGCUUUUAAAAUUGCAAGAAGUGUGACUAUGGAGAAUCAUAUGCAAUCCUAUGUGGCACAUGAUGACCCCGUGUGGCUUUGAAGUCUAUUUGAUUAAGAAAGGAAGAAGCUUCAGUUAAGUUGAGUUAUGGGAUAAGGAAGUCGAAUUUUAAGUCUAUGUGUUUGGUUGGGGUUUUGGACACAUGAGUUUUAGGCUCUGUGUUUUUUUCUUUUUUGGUGUCUCUAUUUUUGCUUUGGCUGUUUGGUCUUUGGACGUUGCUUGUUGCUUACGUUGGUGAGCUUUGGGGGCGAAACUUUGUAUGGUUCUUUUUGUUACGUCCUUAUGCAAACUCAAGA
Molecule: long non-coding RNA, 1551 nt
Organism: Raphanus sativus (radish)
Lineage: Eukaryota; Viridiplantae; Streptophyta; Magnoliopsida; Brassicales; Brassicaceae
Exons: 3
Source: RefSeq, a predicted model, not a curated record